RNAcentral lists this transfer RNA (74 nucleotides) under Deltaproteobacteria bacterium RIFCSPHIGHO2_12_FULL_43_9. RNAcentral describes it as "tRNA-Pro". It matches the Rfam family "tRNA". Rfam says of the family: Transfer RNA (tRNA) molecules are approximately 80 nucleotides in length. Their secondary structure includes four short double-helical elements and three loops (D, anti-codon, and T loops). Further hydrogen bonds mediate the characteristic L-shaped molecular structure. tRNAs have two regions of fundamental functional importance: the anti-codon, which is responsible for specific mRNA codon recognition, and the 3' end, to which the tRNAs corresponding amino acid is attached (by aminoacyl-tRNA synthetases). tRNAs cope with the degeneracy of the genetic code in two manners: having more than one tRNA (with a specific anti-codon) for a particular amino acid; and 'wobble' base-pairing, i.e. permitting non-standard base-pairing at the 3rd anti-codon position. The record is from RNAcentral. Lineage: Bacteria; Deltaproteobacteria.
CGGGGCGUAGCGCAGCCCGGUAGCGCGCUUGCUUUGGGAGCAAGAUGUCGCUGGUUCGAAUCCAGUCGCCCCGA